RNAcentral lists this ribosomal RNA (2904 nucleotides) under Escherichia coli. RNAcentral's name for it is "bacterial LSU rRNA". It matches the Rfam family "Bacterial large subunit ribosomal RNA". The record is from RNAcentral. Lineage: Bacteria; Pseudomonadati; Pseudomonadota; Gammaproteobacteria; Enterobacterales; Enterobacteriaceae.
UUAAGCGACUAAGCGUACACGGUGGAUGCCCUGGCAGUCAGAGGCGAUGAAGGACGUGCUAAUCUGCGAUAAGCGUCGGUAAGGUGAUAUGAACCGUUAUAACCGGCGAUUUCCGAAUGGGGAAACCCAGUGUGAUUCGUCACACUAUCAUUAACUGAAUCCAUAGGUUAAUGAGGCGAACCGGGGGAACUGAAACAUCUAAGUACCCCGAGGAAAAGAAAUCAACCGAGAUUCCCCCAGUAGCGGCGAGCGAACGGGGAGCAGCCCAGAGCCUGAAUCAGUGUGUGUGUUAGUGGAAGCGUCUGGAAAGGCGCGCGAUACAGGGUGACAGCCCCGUACACAAAAAUGCACAUACUGUGAGCUCGAUGAGUAGGGCGGGACACGUGGUAUCCUGUCUGAAUAUGGGGGGACCAUCCUCCAAGGCUAAAUACUCCUGACUGACCGAUAGUGAACCAGUACCGUGAGGGAAAGGCGAAAAGAACCCCGGCGAGGGGAGUGAAAAAGAACCUGAAACCGUGUACGUACAAGCAGUGGGAGCACAGAGCAAUCUGUGUGACUGCGUACCUUUUGUAUAAUGGGUCAGCGACUUAUAUUCUGUAGCAAGGUUAACCGAAUAGGGGAGCCGAAGGGAAACCGAGUCUUAACUGGGCGUUAAGUUGCAGGGUAUAGACCCGAAACCCGGUGAUCUAGCCAUGGGCAGGUUGAAGGUUGGGUAACACUAACUGGAGGACCGAACCGACUAAUGUUGAAAAAUUAGCGGAUGACUUGUGGCUGGGGGUGAAAGGCCAAUCAAACCGGGAGAUAGCUGGUUCUCCCCGAAAGCUAUUUAGGUAGCGCCUCGUGAAUUCAUCUCCGGGGGUAGAGCACUGUUUCGGCAAGGGGGUCAUCCCGACUUACCAACCCGAUGCAAACUACGAAUACCGGAGAAUGUUAUCACGGGAGACACACGGCGGGUGCUAACGUCCGUCGUGAAGAGGGAAACAACCCAGACCGCCAGCUAAGGUCCCAAAGUCAUGGUUAAGUGGGAAACGAUGUGGGAAGGCCCAGACAGCCAGGAUGUUGGCUUAGAAGCAGCCAUCAUUUAAAGAAAGCGUAAUAGCUCACUGGUCGAGUCGGCCUGCGCGGAAGAUGUAACGGGGCUAAACCAUGCACCGAAGCUGCGGCAGCGACGCUGAUGCGUUGUUGGGUAGGGGAGCGUUCUGUAAGCCUGCGAAGGUGUGCUGUGAGGCAUGCUGGAGGUAUCAGAAGUGCGAAUGCUGACAUAAGUAACGAUAAAGCGGGUGAAAAGCCCGCUCGCCGGAAGACCAAGGGUUCCUGUCCAACGUUAAUCGGGGCAGGGUGAGUCGACCCCUAAGGCGAGGCCGAAAGGCGUAGUCGAUGGGAAACAGGUUAAUAUUCCUGUACUUGGUGUUACUGCGAAGGGGGGACGGAGAAGGCUAUGUUGGCCGGGCGACGGUUGUCCCGGUUUAAGCGUGUAGGCUGGUUUUCCAGGCAAAUCCGGAAAAUCAAGGCUGAGGCGUGAUGACGAGGCACUACGGUGCUGAAGCAACAAAUGCCCUGCUUCCAGGAAAAGCCUCUAAGCAUCAGGUAACAUCAAAUCGUACCCCAAACCGACACAGGUGGUCAGGUAGAGAAUACCAAGGCGCUUGAGAGAACUCGGGUGAAGGAACUAGGCAAAAUGGUGCCGUAACUUCGGGAGAAGGCACGCUGAUAUGUAGGUGAAGUCCCUCGCGGAUGGAGCUGAAAUCAGUCGAAGAUACCAGCUGGCUGCAACUGUUUAUUAAAAACACAGCACUGUGCAAACACGAAAGUGGACGUAUACGGUGUGACGCCUGCCCGGUGCCGGAAGGUUAAUUGAUGGGGUUAGCGCAAGCGAAGCUCUUGAUCGAAGCCCCGGUAAACGGCGGCCGUAACUAUAACGGUCCUAAGGUAGCGAAAUUCCUUGUCGGGUAAGUUCCGACCUGCACGAAUGGCGUAAUGAUGGCCAGGCUGUCUCCACCCGAGACUCAGUGAAAUUGAACUCGCUGUGAAGAUGCAGUGUACCCGCGGCAAGACGGAAAGACCCCGUGAACCUUUACUAUAGCUUGACACUGAACAUUGAGCCUUGAUGUGUAGGAUAGGUGGGAGGCUUUGAAGUGUGGACGCCAGUCUGCAUGGAGCCGACCUUGAAAUACCACCCUUUAAUGUUUGAUGUUCUAACGUGGACCCGUAAUCCGGGUUGCGGACAGUGUCUGGUGGGUAGUUUGACUGGGGCGGUCUCCUCCUAAAGAGUAACGGAGGAGCACGAAGGUUGGCUAAUCCUGGUCGGACAUCAGGAGGUUAGUGCAAUGGCAUAAGCCAGCUUGACUGCGAGCGUGACGGCGCGAGCAGGUGCGAAAGCAGGUCAUAGUGAUCCGGUGGUUCUGAAUGGAAGGGCCAUCGCUCAACGGAUAAAAGGUACUCCGGGGAUAACAGGCUGAUACCGCCCAAGAGUUCAUAUCGACGGCGGUGUUUGGCACCUCGAUGUCGGCUCAUCACAUCCUGGGGCUGAAGUAGGUCCCAAGGGUAUGGCUGUUCGCCAUUUAAAGUGGUACGCGAGCUGGGUUUAGAACGUCGUGAGACAGUUCGGUCCCUAUCUGCCGUGGGCGCUGGAGAAUUGAGGGGGGCUGCUCCUAGUACGAGAGGACCGGAGUGGACGCAUCACUGGUGUUCGGGUUGUCAUGCCAAUGGCACUGCCCGGUAGCUAAAUGCGGAAGAGAUAAGUGCUGAAAGCAUCUAAGCACGAAACUUGCCCCGAGAUGAGUUCUCCCUGACUCCUUGAGAGUCCUGAAGGAACGUUGAAGACGACGACGUUGAUAGGCCGGGUGUGUAAGCGCAGCGAUGCGUUGAGCUAACCGGUACUAAUGAACCGUGAGGCUUAACCUU